GACGAACGCUGGCGGCGUGCCUAACACAUGCAAGUCGAACGGAACUGUUUUGAAAGAUUUCUUCGGAAUGAAUUUGAUUUAGUUUAGUGGCGGACGGGUGAGUAACGCGUGAGUAACCUGCCUUCAAGAGGGGAAUAACAUUCUGAAAAGAAUGCUAAUACCGCAUGACAUAUCGGAACCACAUGGUUUUGAUAUCAAAGAUUUUAUCGCUUGAAGAUGGACUCGCGUCCGAUUAGUUAGUUGGUGAGGUAACGGCUCACCAAGACCGCGAUCGGUAGCCGGACUGAGAGGUUGAACGGCCACAUUGGGACUGAGACACGGCCCAGACUCCUACGGGAGGCAGCAGUGGGGGAUAUUGCGCAAUGGGGGCAACCCUGACGCAGCAACGCCGCGUGAAGGAUGAAGGUUUUCGGAUUGUAAACUUCUCUUAUUAAGGACGAAAAAUGACGGUACUUAAUGAAUAAGCUCCGGCUAACUACGUG
This 482-nucleotide ribosomal RNA is filed under the name uncultured bacterium. Its description in RNAcentral is "partial 16S ribosomal RNA". It matches the Rfam family "Bacterial small subunit ribosomal RNA", at positions 28 to 507 of the family's 1533-position model. The record is from RNAcentral.